GCGAACGCUGGCGGCAGGCUUAACACAUGCAAGUCGAACGGGCACCUUCGGGUGUCAGUGGCAGACGGGUGAGUAACACGUGGGAACGUGCCCUUCGGUUCGGAAUAACUCAGGGAAACUUGAGCUAAUACCGGAUACGCCCUUCUGGGGAAAGGUUUACUGCCGAAGGAUCGGCCCGCGUCUGAUUAGCUUGUUGGUGGGGUAACGGCCUACCAAGGCGACGAUCAGUAGCUGGUCUGAGAGGAUGAUCAGCCACACUGGGACUGAGACACGGCCCAGACUCCUACGGGAGGCAGCAGUGGGGAAUAUUGGACAAUGGGCGCAAGCCUGAUCCAGCCAUGCCGCGUGAGUGAUGAAGGCCUUAGGGUUGUAAAGCUCUUUUGUCCGGGACGAUAAUGACGGUACCGGAAGAAUAAGCCCCGGCUAACUUCGU
This 433-nucleotide ribosomal RNA is filed under the name uncultured bacterium. Its description in RNAcentral is "bacterial SSU rRNA". It matches the Rfam family "Bacterial small subunit ribosomal RNA", at positions 29 to 506 of the family's 1533-position model. The record is from RNAcentral.